GAUGAACGCUGGCGGCGUGCCUAAUACAUGCAAGUCGAGCGAACGGACGAGAAGCUUGCUUCUCUGAUGUUAGCGGCGGACGGGUGAGUAACACGUGGAUAACCUACCUAUAAGACUGGGAUAACUUCGGGAAACCGGAGCUAAUACCGGAUAAUAUUUUGAACCGCAUGGUUCAAAAGUAAAAGACGGUCUUGCUGUCACUUAUAGAUGGGUCCGCGCUGCAUUAGCUAGUUGGUAAGGUAACGGCUUACCAAGGCAACGAUGCAUAGCCGACCUGAGAGGGUGGUCGGCCACACUGGAACUGAGACACGGUCCAGACUCCUACGGGAGGCAGCAGUAGGGAAUCUUCCGCAAUGGGCGAAAGCCUGACGGAGCAACGCCGCGUGAGUGAUGAAGGUCUUCGGAUCGUAAAACUCUGUUAUUAGGGAAGAACAUAUGUGUAAGUAACUGUGCACAUCUUGACGGUACCUAAUCAGAAAGCCACGGCUAACUACGUG
This 497-nucleotide ribosomal RNA is filed under the name uncultured bacterium. Its description in RNAcentral is "partial 16S ribosomal RNA". It matches the Rfam family "Bacterial small subunit ribosomal RNA", at positions 28 to 507 of the family's 1533-position model. The record is from RNAcentral.